Molecule: ribosomal RNA, 431 nt
Filed under: uncultured bacterium
Lineage: Bacteria
Description: partial 16S ribosomal RNA
Rfam family: Bacterial small subunit ribosomal RNA
Source: RNAcentral
AACGAACGCUGGCGGCAGGCUUAACACAUGCAAGUCGAACGCCCCGCAAGGGGAGUGGCGCACGGGUGAGUAACGCGUGGAUAUCUGCCUUUUGGUUCGGAAUAACCCCGGGAAACCGGGGCUAAUACCGGAUGGUUCCUACGGGAUAAAGAUUUAUCGCCAAAAGAUGAGUCCGCGUACGAUUAGCUAGUUGGUGAGGUAAUGGCUCACCAAGGCGACGAUCGUUAGCUGGUCUGAGAGGACGAUCAGCCACACUGGGACUGAGACACGGCCCAGACUCCUACGGGAGGCAGCAGUGGGGAAUAUUGGACAAUGGGGGCAACCCUGAUCCAGCCAUGCCGCGUGAGUGAUGAAGGCCUUCGGGUUGUAAAGCUCUUUUGGCGGGGACGAUGAUGACGGUACCCGCAGAAUAAGCCCCGGCUAACUUCGUG